This 929-nucleotide small RNA is filed under the name Arabidopsis thaliana (thale cress). RNAcentral's name for it is "ATSL151810". The record is from RNAcentral. Lineage: Eukaryota; Viridiplantae; Streptophyta; Magnoliopsida; Brassicales; Brassicaceae.
UGAGAAAUAGACACUUUUUUUUAGAAAUAGGUGGAUUAGGUGGUUUUUAUUGGGCUUGUGAGAUAGAAACCAUGUGAGAUAGAAAAUUUGUGGCUAAAGUCCAAAAGAGGUGUCAAAUACUAUUGUAGCCUUGUGUUUUAAAAACAUAAAUUUCGUCUGGGUUCGAAAAAACAAAGACUAAUGGGUUUAAAAACAAAUUCGAGUCCCAUUUACUCUAUUUCGUUUUAAGUGAGCCCAAAUAUUGAGCCCGAAUGAAACAAUUCGUUUUUAUUCAGGAAAUUAUUGAGCCCGAGUUUAUUGUAGGGAUUGUUUUACUUUACUCUUCUUCGUUAUCACAAACCCUAGCCGACUGUGGUGUACAACAAAUCGAGAGGGAACGAGUUUGAUAAGAGAGACAUUUGAGAGAAACCCAAAUUCUUAUGGCGUCAACUAGCAGGGAAGCCUCUGUUGGGAAGCCUCUGUUAUAAGGUGGAACAACAAUUUCAAGGGGAUCUAGGAACUCAAGCUUAUCGUCUACCAUUCUCUUAAAGGUGACAAAAAGAUUCACAGAACUUUCAGACCUUAGAAGAGACUUGAACAUUCUGAAAGACCAAUCAUCUUUGAUUUCAGUCGGAGGUGUUUCCUGACCAUUGAGCCUCACCAAAACGUCGUUAGCCCAGUAUGACAUCUCAACAAACACGUCGUGACCAACCAUGGAGAAUCUUCGUCGGAUAACUUCUUCGAGGGAUUUGAAAGUGUCAAUUUUUUCGCAGUUAAUAGACUUUCCUGGCCUAGUUUUAUCAACUUUGAAGUCCCACCAACCAUUCGGGUAGCAAAUCCAGCGGCCGACCAUGGAGACGCAGGAUUCGUCCCCUGAGAAAAACGAAAACAGAGUCAUAGUAAGCGUUUACAGAGUCAUAGUAAACAAAAACGAAAAAUUCAUAAACUUU